GAGGGGCGCCGUCAGGUCCAAUAGGCGGCCGAAGGCGUGGUCUCCGUCUCCCCAUGCGCGCCUGCACCCGUUUUCCAACGGCGGGGCAGACGGUCGCCGGGGCCGGUUCGGAAAUUUCAACGGGGGGACUUACGACUCCAGUUCAAAGACGGUGCUUAAUUAAGUCCGCCUACUCGGUGAUAGACGCGUGGAAAAAAAAUUAUAUAAAAAUAAACAGAUAGCGACACAACAAAGAGAGCCUGAUGUACUCUAAUAAAAUGGUGUCCCAUCUCAUCGAUCAAACAGAUCUUAACACGGAUGGGACAGGGUUGAAAAUAAAACAGGAGAACUACAUACAGUCUUCUGAAGACCAGAUCGAUUAUGAGGUCAAAGAGCUGCCUGAGUCCAAAGGUCAUUUGGUAUACACGGAAGAGCUCCUCGGAUCCUUGGCGACUCCUAGUAGCGGGGUGUCGACGACUACUGCCACAUUCACUACAUCCAAGGAGCAAAGUGAUGCUGAUUGUUCGAGUUCUACUGCGACCAGCAGCACUCCGGCCACAAAGCCUCCAUACUCGUACGUCGCCCUCAUAGCCAUGGCGAUCGAAAGCAUGCCAAAGAAGCGUGCCGCCCUCUCCGAGAUCUACCAUUUCAUAACGACCACCUUCCCGUUCUUCCAGAAGAACAAAAAAGGCUGGCAGAACUCAAUCCGGCACAACCUCAGCCUCAACGACUGUUUCGUCAAAGUGCCAAGGGAGAGUGGGAGCGAAAAGAAGGGCAACUACUGGAUCAUCAACCCCCUUUGUAGGAACAUGUUCGAAAACGGUAAUUUUAAAAGGAGGAGGAAAAUGAAAAGGCCAUAUGUUCCGGGGAAACUACUACACGACAACACGUAUCUUCCAAGGAGCCUGCUUCACUCGACAUACCCAUACCCGCCAAGCUGCAGCACGUGGAACAUGAACACAAACCAGCUGCACUAUCCUCCUUGUACGCAGACGGGCAUACCGAGGACUCAGCAGACCUACAGUACGAACCUCCAACCCCAGUAUUCGGCCCUUCAGCCUCAGACUAUGCAGAUACCUAUGAACGGUUACAACCAGCUAGCACCCAUGGAUCUCGGAUCUACAUCGUCGAGCUCAUUUUCGAACUACAGCAACAGCUGCAGCUUCAGGAAAUACGAUUCGAUAGACCCGACCCUACGCUAUCCAUACUGGACACAGCCUGCUGAAAUCAAAGAAGAAGGACUUUUGACGACGUCGUCGAGUGUCAACUUCAACUCUUCCUUGGACUUCAGUCUUACGACAAGCCGGCCCAAGUGCUACAUGUGAAAUAAAAGAGUAGGAGCUCGAACUUCAGGAGGAAUGAACUUACCGUGUACCUCAAAUACGUAAUUCAGGAGGAAAGGAAGUAACAAAUGCUUAAACCAGGGAAAAACAAUCAGAGACAUUUUUGGAUGGGGCUUAACUUUUAAGGACGAUCUCUCCCUCAACAACCAAGACCAAUCAACCAAACCCAGCGCCUCCUAAUUAUUUAAAUUAUUUAUUCUCGGGGCCUUAAAACCGCCCUAUUUUUGUGAUUGACUACUUCUCCUUUUUCUAAUUAUGAUUGUAAUAAUUAUUCUAUUUUGUAAACACUUAGCUAUUUUGAUUUUGUAUUAUAAUUAUUAUUAUUGAUAUU
This 1653-nucleotide unclassified non-coding RNA is filed under the name Cimex lectularius (bed bug). RNAcentral's name for it is "forkhead box protein E4-like, transcript variant X1". The record is from RNAcentral. Lineage: Eukaryota; Metazoa; Arthropoda; Insecta; Hemiptera; Cimicidae.